RNAcentral lists this unclassified non-coding RNA (240 nucleotides) under Hevea brasiliensis (rubber tree). Lineage: Eukaryota; Viridiplantae; Streptophyta; Magnoliopsida; Malpighiales; Euphorbiaceae. The record is from RNAcentral.
AAUACAAAUAAAAUAAAUUAAAAAAAGAAAAGUUAAGAGACUUGGGAUUAACUUAAUUUACUCAUUAAAGAUAAGGUUUUUCUUCCAUCCUCGGUCAUUCCUGCCUUCAGGGACGUGGUGCCUAUUGUCCUCGCCAAGACCUUUUAUCUGCCGCGAAAUAAUAUAGGAUGGAGCGAGAACUGAACAUUGGAAAUGAAGUUGGACGGCCAGUGAACCAGGAAGUUGCAAAAUGUAGGGGUG